ACAGCAGCAGGCGUGGUUACGCUGUCCGCUUUGUAAGCGGAUGAUCAUGGGUUCGAUUCCCAUCUGUUCCA
RNAcentral lists this transfer RNA (71 nucleotides) under Culex quinquefasciatus (southern house mosquito). It matches the Rfam family "tRNA". Rfam says of the family: Transfer RNA (tRNA) molecules are approximately 80 nucleotides in length. Their secondary structure includes four short double-helical elements and three loops (D, anti-codon, and T loops). Lineage: Eukaryota; Metazoa; Arthropoda; Insecta; Diptera; Culicidae. The record is from Rfam by way of RNAcentral.